GCUAGAUGUGGUGGUGCAUGCCUAUAGUCCCAGCUACUCAGGAGGCUGAGCAGGGAGGAUCGCUUGAGGCCAGGAAUUCUGGGCUAAAGUGUGCUAUGCCAAUCGGAUGUCCGCACUAAAUUCAGCAUCAAUAUGGUAAUCUCCCAGGAGCAGAGGACCACCAGGUUGCCUAAGGAGGGGUGAAUCGGACCAGGUCAGAAACAGAGCCGGUCAAAACUCCCAUGCUGAUCAGUAGUGGGAUAGUGUCGGUGAAUAGCCACUGCACUCCAGCCUGGGCAACAUAGCAAGACCCUGUCUCUA
Unclassified non-coding RNA from Macaca fascicularis (crab-eating macaque), 300 nucleotides. It matches the Rfam family "Metazoan signal recognition particle RNA". Rfam says of the family: The signal recognition particle (SRP) is a universally conserved ribonucleoprotein. It is involved in the co-translational targeting of proteins to membranes. The eukaryotic SRP consists of a 300-nucleotide 7S RNA and six proteins: SRPs 72, 68, 54, 19, 14, and 9. The record is from Ensembl. Lineage: Eukaryota; Metazoa; Chordata; Mammalia; Primates; Cercopithecidae.